This 29-nucleotide non-coding RNA is filed under the name Rattus norvegicus (Norway rat). The record is from RNAcentral. Lineage: Eukaryota; Metazoa; Chordata; Mammalia; Rodentia; Muridae.
UCUUACUUGGAGAUAAACAUUAGUUAACA